Molecule: microRNA precursor, 84 nt
Filed under: Otolemur garnettii (small-eared galago)
Lineage: Eukaryota; Metazoa; Chordata; Mammalia; Primates; Galagidae
Description: miRNA (ENSOGAG00000024556.1)
Source: RNAcentral
CGGUCCAGACGUGGCGGCAGUGGCAGUGGCAUCCCGGACGGCCUGUGAGGGAUGCGCCGCCCACUGCCCCGCGCCGCCUGACCG